ACAGGCACAGCCAUAUCCAGGCUAUUGAGUACUGCAACCAGACGUGUAUAAUUCACCAGGAUAACAGCCGUACUGAGUGUCCUAAGGGAUGCCGAUGCACCAUCCAAAGCUCCGAAAGAUCUACCGGACCAGGAUAUUGCUGGAGGUUAUGAUUUCAUCGGAAAUACUGUUACUAUGGUCCUCGGGAGUUGAAGAAAAAAUUAAAGUGCUCUUCUCUGCGCAAUAAAUAUACAAGCGACCAGUUUUUCAUUA
RNAcentral lists this long non-coding RNA (252 nucleotides) under Dermacentor andersoni. RNAcentral's name for it is "uncharacterized LOC126544172". The record is from RNAcentral. Lineage: Eukaryota; Metazoa; Arthropoda; Arachnida; Ixodida; Ixodidae.